This 76-nucleotide transfer RNA is filed under the name Methanomassiliicoccaceae archaeon. Its description in RNAcentral is "tRNA-Val". It matches the Rfam family "tRNA". Rfam says of the family: Transfer RNA (tRNA) molecules are approximately 80 nucleotides in length. Their secondary structure includes four short double-helical elements and three loops (D, anti-codon, and T loops). Further hydrogen bonds mediate the characteristic L-shaped molecular structure. tRNAs have two regions of fundamental functional importance: the anti-codon, which is responsible for specific mRNA codon recognition, and the 3' end, to which the tRNAs corresponding amino acid is attached (by aminoacyl-tRNA synthetases). tRNAs cope with the degeneracy of the genetic code in two manners: having more than one tRNA (with a specific anti-codon) for a particular amino acid; and 'wobble' base-pairing, i.e. permitting non-standard base-pairing at the 3rd anti-codon position. Lineage: Archaea; Methanobacteriati; Thermoplasmatota; Thermoplasmata; Methanomassiliicoccales; Methanomassiliicoccaceae. The record is from RNAcentral.
GGGCUCAUGGUCUAGGGGUUAUGACGUUUCCUUGACAUGGAAAAGGCCGCCGGUUCAAAUCCGGCUGAGCCCACCA